CAUGAGAAAUAAUUUUCUCUACAUCCUCUGUUAAGCAUACCCAAGUAUCUUUCGAGAGGAUUGGAGAUCCUGCUAUGUGUAUGAGGUAGAGGAGGAAUAUAUGUCUACUGGCUCAUGAUGAAUAGGUUCUUAAGGUCCCAAGGCUCGCUGCUCUUCAAAGAUACUCUCUUAGAGCUUAACUUUCCUCCCAUUGCUUCAUCCUAGUUAAACAAUUUUUCAAGAUAGAAUGUCAGAUCACA
Molecule: long non-coding RNA, 239 nt
Filed under: Elaeis guineensis (African oil palm)
Lineage: Eukaryota; Viridiplantae; Streptophyta; Magnoliopsida; Arecales; Arecaceae
Description: long non-coding RNA (EGUI_LNC065703)
Source: RNAcentral